This 253-nucleotide ribosomal RNA is filed under the name uncultured bacterium. Its description in RNAcentral is "partial 16S ribosomal RNA". It matches the Rfam family "Bacterial small subunit ribosomal RNA", at positions 524 to 776 of the family's 1533-position model. The record is from RNAcentral.
UACGAAGGGGGCUAGCGUUGCUCGGAUUGACUGGGCGUAAAGGGCGCGUAGGCGGUUUGCAUAGUCAGACGUGAAAUUCCUGGGCUUAACCUGGGGGCUGACGUUUGAUACAUGCAGGCUUGAGUUCGGAAGAGGGUCGUGGAAUUCCCAGUGUAGAGGUGAAUUCGUAGAUAUUGGGAAGAACACCGGUGGCGAAGGCGGCGACCUGGUCCGAUACUGACGCUGAGGCGCGAAAGCGUGGGGAGCAAACAGG